RNAcentral lists this ribosomal RNA (898 nucleotides) under uncultured archaeon. RNAcentral's name for it is "bacterial SSU rRNA". It matches the Rfam family "Archaeal small subunit ribosomal RNA", at positions 48 to 923 of the family's 1478-position model. The record is from RNAcentral.
GACAUGCGAGUCGAGCGUCUCUAGUUAUGGUGAGACGCGGCAGACGGCUCAGUAACACGUGGCUAACCUACCCUCAGGACAGGGACAAACCCGGGAAACUGGGGCUAAUACCCGAUAGGCGAGGGCGCCUGGAAUGGUUCUUCACCCAAAGGGCUUUGGAAGCAUGCUUUUCAAAGUCGCCUGGGGAUGGGGCCGCGUCCGAUCAGGUUGUUGGUGAGGUAACGGCUCACCAAGCCUAUAACCGGUACGGGCCGUGAGAGCGGUAGCCCGGAGAUGGGCACUGAGACAAGGGCCCAGGCCCUACGGGGCGCAGCAGUCGCGAAAACUCCGCAAUGCACGAAAGUGUGACGGGGCUACCUCGAGUGCCGUCCGCUGAGGAUGGCUUUUCCUCGGUGUAACUAGCCGGGGGAAUAAGGAGAGGGCAAGACUGGUGUCAGCCGCCGCGGUAAUACCAGCUCUCCGAGUGGUAGGGAUGAUUAUUGGGCUUAAAGCGUCCGUAGCCGGCUUAGCAAGUCUCCUGUUAAAUUCAGCGACCUAAUCGUUGAGCCGCGGGAGAUACUACUAAGCUAGGAGGCGGGAGAGGUCGACGGUACUUCCGGGGUAGGGGUGAAAUCCUAUAAUCCCGGGAGGACCACCAGUGGCGAAGGCUGUCGACUAGAACGCGCUCGACGGUGAGGGACGAAAGCUGGGGGAGCGAACCGGAUUAGAUACCCGGGUAGUCCCAGCUGUAAACGAUGCGGGCUAGGUGUUGGGGUGGCUACGUGCCACUUCAGUGCCGCAGGGAAGCCAUUAAGCCCGCCGCCUGGGGAGUACGGCCGCAAGGCUGAAGCUUAAAGGAAUUGGCGGGGGAGCACCACAAGGCGUGAAGCUUGCGGUUCAAUUGGAUUCAACGCCGGGA